Molecule: non-coding RNA, 483 nt
Organism: Plectropomus leopardus (leopard coralgrouper)
Lineage: Eukaryota; Metazoa; Chordata; Actinopteri; Perciformes; Serranidae
Source: RefSeq, a predicted model, not a curated record
CGCGAUAAAAUGAACGCGUUUACACGUCGGAGCAACAUGAAGGUUCAUGUGGAGUUGUGUUUCUGACCACGUGGUGAAUCUCCUUUGUUCCCCAAGGAAGCAUUUGACGAAAACAACACUUUUUUCACAAAUUCAACAUAACAGGCUUGACGUUUAAGGAAAAACUGAGUUUCCACUGAGAAUAAAUGAAGUUUCCUUCAGGUAACAGGUCCCUGCAUAUACAGCACAGGCAGCAGGCCCCACCCACGGUCUCCCCUGGUAUUACCAAUGACUCUCACAAGAGGAGAGACCUGAGGAGGAGGAGAGGAGGUAUGGUCAGUAACCAUAGCAACUUAGAGGGGUUACAUGAGAACGGACAUUGACUGCAGUGAAGAUGAGUAUUUCUAUCACAAACGCAGCCCAGCAGCUAUUCUGACCUUUGAAGUUUCUCUCUGCAGGGAAAAUAGAUGGAAGACGUCAGCCAGCUGGUCACAUUUCACUUCG